GACAAUUGUUCCUUUUUUUAUUCAAAAGUGACUUGGCUAUUCAUAUCACUAAAGUGAUAAGCAUUGGUUCAUAAUUGGUUCCACUUUUUUUUACUAAGCAUAAGUCUAUGGCAAAUCACAUGACAUGUUUCUAAUAAAACCAAUGAAGAAUCAUUUUACAGAGUACAGUAUGUCUACAUACUCUCCUCUUAAUCUAAACACAACAAUUAUUCAUAUUAUUUUUGCUCUCUUCCUCACUCUUAAUUUUCUUCCUCCUCUAUGUCUCUCUCUGACACUAAGGCUAUAUCUCAAUUAUUUUUUCCUAGAUUCCUCUCCUACCUCCUCUCCUCCUUUCAACCCUAUUAGAGAAGGUCCAAGGUCAGUCCCCCUGGAUUCUGUUCUCCAAUGUGUUUUGAGACAGAGUCUCAAUUUCACCUCUAUGUUGAGUUCAUCUCUCACUUUAACCAGAAGGUGGAAUCAUCACUUCUUCAGGCUAGGGUCUUUUUUUCUGAAUUUCCGCCUGACUGACGUGCCCAAAGUAAACUGCCUGUUACUCCGGCCCAGAAGCCAGGAUAAGCAUAUAAGUGGUACCAUUGGAUGGAGAACCCUUUGAAGUUUGGAGAAAUGUUAAAAUAAUGUAUGAGACUAUAACACAAUAGAUAUGGUAGGAGAAAAUCCAAAGAAAAUCCAAACAGAAUGUAUUUUUUUUUUGAGAGCCCAUGCUCUUACAAUGGAAGGUAAUAGGGUCGUAUACAAAUCCAGCUCAUAGAUUGCAAUUCCUAUGGCUUCCACUAGAUAUCAACAGUCGUUGUUCAAGGUUUCAGUUUUGUUUUUUCCCAAACAAGGAAGACUUUUGAGUUUUAGUACUGGGAGUCAGAGUUGGAAAUCAGACUGGUGCGUGACGAAGAAGACGCGCACCUGCUAAUUUAGCUUUUCUAUUGAACAUACUACUUUCCGUAUGAAAUGUUAUAGUUGAAUUACAUUUUAGGGUAUCUGAGGAUUCAAUAGAAACGUAUUUGGACUUGUUUUAACAAAGUUUAGCCGUAGCUUUUAGGAUUCCUUUCUCUGCAUGUUGAACGAGUGGAUUACUCAAAUCGAUGGUUCCAACUAAACUGACUUUUUGGGAUAUAAAGAAGGAUUUUAUCUUGCAUAACGACCAUACAUGUUGUAGUUGGGACCCUUUGGAUUGCAAAUCAGAGGAAGAUUUUUAAAAAGUAAGUUAAUAUUUAACCGAUAUUUGUGAUUUUACAAAGUCUGUGCUGGUUGAAAAAUAUUUUGAUGUGGGGCGCCGUUUGACAUGUCUUUAUUCUUUUGGAACCUCUGUGAGUGUAAUGUUUACUGUUCAUUUUUAUUGUUUAUUUCACUUCUGUAUAUUAUCUACUUCACUUGCAUUGGCAAUGUUAACAUAUGUUUCCCAUGACAAUAAAGGCCUUGAAUUGAGAGAGAGAGAGAGAGAGAGAGAGAGACAGAGAGAGAGAAUGUUUGUUACUGUGGAUUAUCGUUAUACCACUUUCUCACAUAUCCAGUCAUGAUAUUUGUGACAAUUUUCAUCAUUCCAUGUCUUUACAGGGUCAUCUUGUCCAUAGUAUAUCUCAACACAGUCCUCUUUCCCAUUAUCAUCAGGCUGUCCUGCGCUCCAGUACC
Oncorhynchus tshawytscha (Chinook salmon) is the source of this 1623-nucleotide long non-coding RNA. The record is from Ensembl. Lineage: Eukaryota; Metazoa; Chordata; Actinopteri; Salmoniformes; Salmonidae.